CUAACAAGGAUUCCCCCAGUAACGGCGAGUGAAGCGGGAAUAGCUCAAAUUUGAAAUCUCCGGCGCUUGGGUCGGCGAAUUGUAGUUGCGAGAAGCACUUUCUAGGCGGAUCGGUCGUGCCUAAGUUGCUUGGAACAGUACGUCAUAGAGGGUGACAACCCCGUCUGUGGCUCGGCCGGCCGCUCACGAUGUGCUUUCGAAGAGUCGGGUUGUUUGGGAAUGCAGCCCAAAAAUGGUGGUAAACUCCAUCUAAAGCUAAAUACUGACGUGAGACCGAUAGCGAAGGAAACGAAUGGACUCAGCAAUGCGCCCUUUGAGAUUCAGCCGGGCGGUUGUGGCGGUGCGGGGCUUGCGGAUCUGAAUGGACCGCGGUCUCGGGCCCGUUGCUUCCGACCGUCGCACUUCUCUUGGACGCGAGUCAACGUCGGUUGGGACUGGGCCUCAAAGGUUCCGGGAAGGUAGGUCGGGACGCUCGCGUUCGGACUGUUACAGCCCGGUUCUCUCCCGGCUCGGGCCCGACCGAGGCGGAUGCAGCACAUGCCUCUUCUGGCUAGGGUCCCGUCCUUCCGGCCGGUUGUCGAAUGCGGUGGACUGCUUGCAGUGCUCUGCGAUUGCUGCCGGUCGUUGGGGUGGUGAUCU
This 639-nucleotide ribosomal RNA is filed under the name Porites porites. RNAcentral's name for it is "eukaryotic LSU rRNA". The stretch from base 1 to 281 matches the Rfam family "Eukaryotic large subunit ribosomal RNA", at positions 65 to 358 of the family's 3401-position model. Lineage: Eukaryota; Metazoa; Cnidaria; Anthozoa; Scleractinia; Poritidae. The record is from RNAcentral.